RNAcentral lists this ribosomal RNA (460 nucleotides) under uncultured bacterium. RNAcentral describes it as "partial 16S ribosomal RNA". It matches the Rfam family "Bacterial small subunit ribosomal RNA", at positions 338 to 795 of the family's 1533-position model. The record is from RNAcentral.
CCUACGGGUGGCAGCAGUGAGGAAUAUUGGUCAAUGGACGAGAGUCUGAACCAGCCAAGUAGCGUGAAGGAUGACUGCCCUCUGGGUUGUAAACUUCUUUUAUAUGGGAAUAAAACGUUCCACGUGUGGGAUUUUGUAUGUACCAUAUGAAUAAGGAUCGGCUAACUCCGUGCCAGCAGCCGCGGUAAUACGGAGGAUCCGAGCGUUAUCCGGAUUUAUUGGGUUUAAAGGGAGCGUAGGUGGAUUGUUAAGUCAGCUGUGAAAGUUUGCGGCUCAACCGUAAAAUUGCAGUUGAAACUGGCAGUCUUGAGUACAGUAGAGGUGGGCGGAAUUCGUGGUGUAGCGGUGAAAUGCUUAGAUAUCACGAAGAACUCCGAUUGCGAAGGCAGUUCACUGGACUGCAACUGACACUGAGGCUCGAAAGUGUGGGUAUCAAACAGGAUUAGAUACCCGAGUAGUC